Long non-coding RNA from Eucalyptus grandis, 3655 nucleotides. RefSeq lists it as uncharacterized. The record is from RefSeq and is a predicted model, not a curated record. Lineage: Eukaryota; Viridiplantae; Streptophyta; Magnoliopsida; Myrtales; Myrtaceae. The transcript has 2 exons.
CGAAGGAGAUGGAUGGCGUCGUUGAAGAUCACCCGAACCUCCCAUGGCAGAUGGGCAUCCGUGUUGACAGAUUCAACCAGUAUGGCGCUGUCCGAUUCGAUGAUCAGUGCAUCGCAGUGUCUGCCCAGGCAAUGCAAAUGGCUAAGAGUGAUCAAAAGGGCCAUAAACUCUUAUUGUAGAGCCGAUGAAGCAGGAAAGGUUGUGGGUUACGAUAAGAGCAAAGAGCGGAUCGAGCGUUGGCGAUAGCUCUGUCAAGCACCUGAGAUGCAUCCACCUAUUGGUGACGAAAGAUAAAGUUGUUCCUGGAUUUCCAAAUGUGCCAUAGGACAUAGGCGAUGGUGUUCUGAUCAGGUACACUUUGAUUUCGAACAAACAGAUCUGAAAUCCAUUCAUUUAGGCUCUGUGAAUGCUGUGUCUGAAUGGGUAAAUGAAGCUUGGGGUCUGACCAAAUGGCACUAGUCCAAUGACAACGCAGAAAUAUGUGAUCGGCCGAUUCAGGUUCACUAUUAUGGCAGAUUACACAGUAAGGGUCAGGGCUGAUAUUUCUGUUAUACAGAUUACCUUUUGUAGGUAGAACAUUGUGUAGUAGACUCCAUAGAAAAUAUUUGAUCUUGGGCGCAAUGCUUAAUUUCCAUAGUAUUUUCCAUAAAGCUAUCGGGAACUGAUGGCUAUGCAAAUCGCCAUCUUGAUUGCUGUUGAUUUCUGUCGGCCGAGUGUGUAUGUAACCACUCUUGACGGUAUAGACGCGGUGAGUGGUUUCCGUCCAUAUCAGUUUAUCCUCUGUAUGAGAAGGGCUGAUCAGGAUGGCGAGGAUUUCCUUAACUGUAGUGUCGUCAUAGAGGUCAUUAAGUAGGGGGAUAUUCUAGGCAUUGGUAUGCCUAUCCAUGAGUUCGCCUACCAUAGCCGAUUCAUCCCGGUUUGCUUGGCCAACCAGAAGUCCUUGUGGUAGCCACUGAUCUUCACGUAUGUUAAUCCUAGUUCCAUCACCUACUAACCAUCGAAGCUUAGGAAGGAUUGAAUUCCAACCUAGUAAAAGACUCUGCCAACCCCAAGAUGGUCUGGCCCCUUUAUCCGCAUGUAAAAAAUCUCGGGAAUGGAAGUAGAUACCUUUAAAUAAUUUACUCCAAAGUGCCGUAGAAUUUUGAAUCAACCGCCAAGCCUAUUUUCCAAGCAGUGCAUUGUUGAAGUGCAUGAGAUCUCUGAAGCCGAUACCACCUUGGUUCUUGCUCUGUUUAAGCACAUCCCAUCUUUUCCAAUGGCCGGUUUGAGAGGCAUAAGUGAUACAAUUGCAUUGAGUAAAGUUUUUUAUAUUAAAUUGUUAUUCAUAUGAAAUGACAAAUGAGGUUGUAUAACUGUGAUCAUGAAAGAUUGAAGUGCAUAAUUGUCUGCUAUUAUUGUCACCUAACUUAUCACUUGGUGAGUAAGUUUCAUCUAAUUUAGUACUUAGUAGGUAACGAAAUAUCAAAGUAGUUAUAGCAACUUUCUCAUCCUUAUUAGUUACUUCUUAUACAUAAAAGGCAUAUGCGGUUCUCUUGCCAAUGAGUUACAUUUCCAUUUAAUUAUUAAUUUUUCAAGAUGUCGAGUAACUAUUAAAAACUCGGUAAUUAGAAUUGUCUCAUCUUCUAACUUACUUGUAACGUCGAAAUAAUAACUAUCAAUAUGCAAAGUAAUUGCACUCAAUACCUUAUUCACAAUAAGGGUAAAUCGUUAUAUAAUAUAAGAGAGAGUGCGCAUGUUUUUGCUAGUGUCGGAUGGAGAAAGAUCAGGAUGCUCUCUCCGUUAGAGACUGGCGGCGAAGACGGGGUGCUACAAUAACAAAAAUGGGUUAUUUGAAGAGGAAUAGAAUGAACAGACAUAUAUGCAAGUGGAGGAAGAUGUUGCUGAUGAAAAGAGCAGGGGUUUGGCGAUGGUCAGCAACAAUCGCCUUUCAAUUGGGUACUUAGAAUGAAAGACAAUUAGCUAGAUGCGCCAAAAAUGACCUUCUUAGAUUCAACCAAUGCCCAAAGUAAAUAGAGAAGUUAUCACACCCAGGCCCAUAGAGGGUCGCUCCCUUCUAUAUCUUCAAAGAGAAAAGUGAUUUUUCUAUAAGUUAGUAAUUUUCACCUGAAUAAGUGGCUUUCAAAAUAUUAGUAAGUGGUACAUUUCCACCUAAUUCAAUUGGCAAAUAUGUAAUUAGUCGAAGUGACUUUUCAUUUCAUUAGAAACUUUUAUACAGAAAAAAGGAAGUAUGUACCUUUCAAAUUUCUUGGUUUGAUUAUCAAUUUUUCUUUAGGAAAAGAUCAUUUUCAAUCCAUCGAGAGUUCGCAGAUUUUAAGUCUUGAUUUAAAAAGUCGGAACUUUAAUUUUAAUUGGUAAUUAGUUGGUAUGGCUUAUAAUUUUAAUAUAAUAAAAUACCUACUAGUAUAUCAAGAGUUGGCAACAUUCACAAGUAGUAGCUAUUCUGAAAUAUUAGAUAACCAAAUAUAUUUAUGUAGUCAGCAACUACACUACUGCAAUAAUUUCUUCAAUGAUCCAGCAAUGGCCAGUAAAAAUGGCAUGAAUUUUCUCCGCUUUUAAUCUCACGACACCAUGGGAUCACCCAUAAUGGGAAUCUGACACCUCAACAAGAUGAAUUUGGCUCCGAGGAGGUUCUUUUAUGUUUUGUUUGCCAGAACAUUGCACAAGCAAAUAUAUUUUAAGCAUUUAAGUAGUUUAUGUCCGGAUUUUUUGUCUCUUUGUUAGAUGGGUAGUUCAAGGCAUUGAUCACGACGUCGCAGGAAGAUCGUUGCUGGGGAAAGGCUCCAUCUUUUUUCCCUGGAGGAGAGAUGCUGAAGUGGUUGCUUAUGGCUUCACAUUGCUUCGCGACGAGUUCCUAGGAUAAGCUUUUUGUUUUGUAUUUGGACCAAGAGGAGGAAAAGUGGUUGCCCCGGUCCAGAUCCUUCCACACAUUAAUGCCAAGAAGGGGAGAGGGAGUUCUCUAUAUGCACCAUACUAUCAAGUCAUUUCCGAUGACGUGGCUUGCAUAUUACCAACCAAGAGCAGAAAAGUCAAUUUUAAUCAAGAUGAUUUGAAUCAUUUCCAAUUUAGCCUCAAGAGUAAUGGGAGAAAUCUUCCAAAAGUGGGGAUUCAGAAUAAUGCUGGGCAAUUAGAGGACAACUUGAAGGCCGUGAUUCCAGACAAUCAGUAACUCAGCUUGAUCCAGCUUUCCUCUAUGUGGUUGGUCACUUACACUCUUCGAGGUUUGUCAUGCUGAGGUAUCAAACAAAUUCAUAAGAAGAGAGCUCAAGAGAAGCAGAUUUACGGGAGAACCCACCAGUACCAGCUUUAUAGUCCAUGAAAAAGGGACUUGCAUCUAGAGCUAUGAAGGAGGAUAUUGCACUUUGGGAAAAUGGCCCAAGUCAAACGGAUCACGAGGAAAGUGGCCCAACAGUGCAGAGGAAUGCAUGAUGGGGCUGCAUAAUACUGAAGCUGGAAUUCUCGAUUUAUAUCAACUGAAUUUGCGUGACGAUUUAGUGGAAACUCUAGUGACAUCUAUAAUUAUUGGGAAAGACAGAUAAAACUCUUUGAGAGACUUCUAAUAAUGGAUUUUAAACUUUGGAAUUAUUGCUUUUAAAUUUCUUACAUUUCCUAUAUCAAGAAUGCUACGUUGAAAGAAUGAUCGAAUAUAUUUGUGUUA